GAUAACCGAAGAUCACACCGGGAUCGAGGGUGGGGUUGGUGAUCAAGCGCACGUCACCACCGCCGGGGGCCCAGGUGUCGUAGACGCCGCCGAAGAACAUCGCCUUGAACACCAGCAGCAGCGCACCGACGCCAAGCAGGAUCAAGUGGUAACCGAUGAUGUUGGUCAUCUGGUUCUUAUCCCGCCA
Non-coding RNA from Synechococcus sp. RS9917, 187 nucleotides. Lineage: Bacteria; Bacillati; Cyanobacteriota; Cyanophyceae; Synechococcales; Synechococcaceae. The record is from Rfam.